Long non-coding RNA from Dipodomys spectabilis (banner-tailed kangaroo rat), 1155 nucleotides. RefSeq lists it as uncharacterized. The record is from RefSeq and is a predicted model, not a curated record. The transcript has 2 exons. NCBI's taxonomy places the organism in Eukaryota, Metazoa, Chordata, Mammalia, Rodentia, Heteromyidae.
UAUUCAAAACACUGAUCUGCUGUAAAAUUGCAAACAACACUUCCAAAUAAUAAAAGUGUUUAAGGAAAAAAAAAAUAAAGCUGAACCCAGAGGAAGUUGCUUCCUUAAAACCGGGCAUCUGUCGUGGAAGAGGCUGCUACUGCGGGGAAGGUCAUAUGCCAAAGUGAGGUGAAACAUGGAAGGGUUUUAUUCAGGAAAAUACGUGUGUGAGAGAAAACAGAGAGAAGAUAAGAUUGUAAUAGCCAUCAACCCACAAGGCAAGGCUGAUCCUGUGGGAAGAAGAGACGGAGGAAAGGUUGGAUAGACGCCAUCGAGACUUCCAUGCAACUCAAGGAACACCCAGCAGUCACUGAGGCGUUAUCCAGCCAGAGAGACCAGAGGGCGGGGUCUUCUCCUAGCAUCAGUCCACGCCAACCACGGCGAGCACGGGCUGUUCUACUCCCGUGCACGAAAAGCCUCCUUGGAAAGUUCCUAGUUUAAUGUUGUACUUCGGCGUCCAUCUGCAUAUGCUGUGUGUUCUGGGAGAAGGACUUUUAUUUCUAACUGAUAGUUUUAUUGUUAGAUAUCUGUAUACUUUCAGCUGCUUGCCAGUAGGAAAUGAUUGCGUAAGAUCGUGGAGCUUUUCUUGAAGUUCAGGGUCUUCUUUGUGUUUGUUUGGGGUCGUUUUUUUAGUUUUAGCAACCUGCAUCACCUGCCUGGAUAAAAUACUAAGCUACUAGAUAUUAUUCAUAAUUCAACCUUAAUUCUAACCACCCAUCCCUGUAUCAGCUGGAGCACAUGGCUUUCCCAAGCUAUAUAAUUUGUAAGUAGGCCCAGCAGGGUUUUAUGACCAGAACCUUCCAGAUCUCAAGUCUGAGGUAAAGGAAGGUUUAAAGGUCAUAAAGCACCCUGUAUGAUCUCUCAUCAGGCUAGGCAGUUUGGGCCCCUCUCUAUUCACCAAAGAUUACGAUGACUCUCAGUAGUACUAAGAUGUUGAAGAAAUACAAAUUGCCAAAGAAAACUCAAAGAGCAUUUUCAUAUGGGUCUGCCUAGUUACAGAAUGAAAAAUAUAUUCAUGCCUAUUUUAACGAACAUUGUGUUAAUUUAGAUACGAAAGUAUCUAAGAACAGACACUGAAUUUAUUUGGGAGAGAUAUUUACACUAGGCACCUAGAGA